GCCUACGGGAGGCAGCAGUAGGGAAUAUUGGACAAUGGGCGAAAGCCUGAUCCAGCAAUGCCGCGUGAGUGAUGAAGGCCUUAGGGUUGUAAAGCUCUUUUACCCGGGAUGAUAAUGACAGUACCGGAGAAUAGC
This 135-nucleotide ribosomal RNA is filed under the name Sphingobium sp. enrichment culture. Its description in RNAcentral is "partial 16S ribosomal RNA". It matches the Rfam family "Bacterial small subunit ribosomal RNA", at positions 337 to 491 of the family's 1533-position model. The record is from RNAcentral. Lineage: Bacteria; Pseudomonadati; Pseudomonadota; Alphaproteobacteria; Sphingomonadales; Sphingobiaceae.